RNAcentral lists this ribosomal RNA (204 nucleotides) under uncultured Lactobacillus sp. RNAcentral's name for it is "partial 16S ribosomal RNA". It matches the Rfam family "Bacterial small subunit ribosomal RNA", at positions 158 to 354 of the family's 1533-position model. Lineage: Bacteria; Bacillati; Bacillota; Bacilli; Lactobacillales; Lactobacillaceae. The record is from RNAcentral.
GAAUGCUAAUACCGGAUAAUAACAGAUGAUGCCUAUCAACUGUUUAAAAGAUGGUUCUGCUAUCACUCUUGGAUGGACCUGCGGUGCAUUAGCUAGUUGGUAGGGUAACGGCCUACCAAGGCGAUGAUGCAUAGCCGAGUUGAGAGACUGAUCGGCCACAUUGGGACUGAGACACGGCCCAAACUCCUACGGGAGGCAGCAGGG